UAUUACGCAUGAACCUAUCCCGAACCUGAUUCCUGUAAGAUUGACAACCCUGUCGGAUCUGACUUCUGAAAU
Molecule: small nucleolar RNA, 72 nt
Filed under: Salmo salar (Atlantic salmon)
Lineage: Eukaryota; Metazoa; Chordata; Actinopteri; Salmoniformes; Salmonidae
Description: Small nucleolar RNA SNORD50 (ENSSSAG00000088053.1)
Rfam family: Small nucleolar RNA SNORD50
About the family: U50 belongs to the C/D class of snoRNA which contain the C (UGAUGA) and D (CUGA) box motifs. Most of the members of the box C/D family function in directing site-specific 2'-O-methylation of substrate RNAs.
Source: RNAcentral